RNAcentral lists this ribosomal RNA (460 nucleotides) under uncultured bacterium. Its description in RNAcentral is "partial 16S ribosomal RNA". It matches the Rfam family "Bacterial small subunit ribosomal RNA", at positions 338 to 795 of the family's 1533-position model. The record is from RNAcentral.
CCUACGGGAGGCUGCAGUGAGGAAUAUUGGUCAAUGGACGAGAGUCUGAACCAGCCAAGUAGCGUGAAGGAUGACUGCCCUAUGGGUUGUAAACUUCUUUUAUAAAGGAAUAAAACGAGGCACGUGUGCCUUUUUGCAUGUACUUUAUGAAUAAGGAUCGGCUGACUCCGUGCCAGCAGCCGCGGUAAUACGGAGGAUCCGAGCGUUAUCCGGAUUUAUUGGGUUUAAAGGGAGCGUAGAUGGGUUGUUAAGUCAGUUGUGAAAGUUUGCGGCUCAACCGUAAAAUUGCAAUUGAUACUGGCAGUCGUGAGUACAGUUGAGGUAGGCGGAAUUCGUGGUGUAGCGGUGAAAUGCUUAGAUAUCACGAAGAACCCCGAUUGCGAAGGCAGCUUACUAAACUGUGACUGACAUUGAUGCUCGAAAGUGUGGGUAUCAAACAGGAUUAGAUACCCUUGUAGUC